RNAcentral lists this ribosomal RNA (677 nucleotides) under uncultured bacterium. RNAcentral describes it as "bacterial SSU rRNA". It matches the Rfam family "Bacterial small subunit ribosomal RNA", at positions 126 to 818 of the family's 1533-position model. The record is from RNAcentral.
CCUCCCUAUACCGGGGAACUACAGAGGUAAACUUCUGCUAAUACCGCAUAAGCGCACAGUGCCACAUGGCACAGUGUGAAAAACUCCGGUGGUAUACGAUGGACUCGCGUCUGAUUAGCCAUUUGUUGAGUUAACGGCUCACCAAAUCAACGAUCAGUAGCCGGCCUGAGAGGGUGAACGGCCACAUUGGGACUGAGACACGGCCCAGACUCCUACGGGAGGCAGCAGUGGGGAAUAUUGCACAAUGGAGGAAACUCUGAUGCAGCGACGCCGCGUGAGUGAAGAAGUAUUUCGGUAUGUAAAGCUCUAUCAGCAGGGAAGAAAGAAAUGACGGUACCUGAUUAAGAAGCCCCGGCUAACUACGUGCCAGCAGCCGCGGUAAUACGUAGGGGGCAAGCGUUAUCCGGAUUUACUGGGUGUAAAGGGAGCGUAGACGGCGAUGCAAGUCAGAUGUGAAAACCCAUGGCUCAACCAUGGGAUUGCAUUUGAAACUGUGUUGCUAGAGUGCAGGAGAGGUAAGCGGAAUUCCUGGUGUAGCGGUGAAAUGCGUAGAUAUCAGGAGGAACACCGGUGGCGAAGGCGGCUUACUAGACUGUAACUGACGUUGAGGCUCGAAGGCGUGGGUAGCAAACAGGAUUAGAUACCCUGGUAGUCCACGCAGUAAACGAUGAUUACCA